RNAcentral lists this ribosomal RNA (879 nucleotides) under Bacillus paralicheniformis. RNAcentral describes it as "bacterial SSU rRNA". It matches the Rfam family "Bacterial small subunit ribosomal RNA", at positions 64 to 922 of the family's 1533-position model. Lineage: Bacteria; Bacillati; Bacillota; Bacilli; Caryophanales; Bacillaceae. The record is from RNAcentral.
GAGCGGACAGAUGGGAGCUUGCUCCCUGAUGUUAGCGGCGGACGGGUGAGUAACACGUGGGUAACCUGCCUGUAAGACUGGGAUAACUCCGGGAAACCGGGGCUAAUACCGGAUGCUUGAUUGAACCGCAUGGUUCAAUUAUAAAAGGUGGCUUUUAGCUACCACUUACAGAUGGACCCGCGGCGCAUUAGCUAGUUGGUGAGGUAACGGCUCACCAAGGCAACGAUGCGUAGCCGACCUGAGAGGGUGAUCGGCCACACUGGGACUGAGACACGGCCCAGACUCCUACGGGAGGCAGCAGUAGGGAAUCUUCCGCAAUGGACGAAAGUCUGACGGAGCAACGCCGCGUGAGUGAUGAAGGUUUUCGGAUCGUAAAACUCUGUUGUUAGGGAAGAACAAGUACCGUUCGAAUAGGGCGGUACCUUGACGGUACCUAACCAGAAAGCCACGGCUAACUACGUGCCAGCAGCCGCGGUAAUACGUAGGUGGCAAGCGUUGUCCGGAAUUAUUGGGCGUAAAGCGCGCGCAGGCGGUUUCUUAAGUCUGAUGUGAAAGCCCCCGGCUCAACCGGGGAGGGUCAUUGGAAACUGGGGAACUUGAGUGCAGAAGAGGAGAGUGGAAUUCCACGUGUAGCGGUGAUAUGCGUAGAGAUGUGGAGGAACACCAGUGGCGAAGGCGACUCUCUGGUCUGUAACUGACGCUGAGGCGCGAAAGCGUGGGGAGCGAACAGGAUUAGAUACCCUGGUAGUCCACGCCGUAAACGAUGAGUGCUAAGUGUUAGAGGGUUUCCGCCCUUUAGUGCUGCAGCAAACGCAUUAAGCACUCCGCCUGGGGGAGUACGGGUCGCAAGACUGAAACUCAAGGAAUUGACGGGGGCCC